GCGCUCUGUGAGACGAGACACAAGAAACUCUUCACCACACGGAGGGCCGCACCAUAAGGACCCAUUCCAGACUUAAACCGACUGAAGCUGAGAGCAAGCCACUGCAUUCUGAGACGUCACAGCCUUAACACCAUCGUGCCAAACGCCCUGUCACCCGGAACCCGUUAAGAUCAAACCGAAGCACUGGUGGCACAUGAACGUUCCCGGAACAGGGAUGGAACCCGCGCUGCUGCAGUGACAAUGCCAGCUCCUUAACCCACUGCACCACCAGGAUCUGGUUUCUUUCUUCUUCCUCUUCAACCCUGGACUCCAAGUCAUGGAGGAUCUCCUCU
Phacochoerus africanus (Common warthog) is the source of this 332-nucleotide long non-coding RNA. RefSeq lists it as uncharacterized. The transcript is spliced from 3 exons. The record is from RefSeq and is a predicted model, not a curated record. NCBI's taxonomy places the organism in Eukaryota, Metazoa, Chordata, Mammalia, Artiodactyla, Suidae.